RNAcentral lists this ribosomal RNA (301 nucleotides) under uncultured bacterium. Its description in RNAcentral is "partial 16S ribosomal RNA". It matches the Rfam family "Bacterial small subunit ribosomal RNA", at positions 509 to 807 of the family's 1533-position model. The record is from RNAcentral.
CAGUAGCCGCGGUAAUACGAAGGGUGCAAGCGUUAAUCGGAAUUACUGGGCGUAAAGGGCGUGUAGGCGGCCUGGGGCGUCCCAUGUGAAAGGCCACGGCUCAACCGUGGAGGAGCGUGGGAUACGCUCAGGCUAGAGGGUGGGAGAGGGUGGUGGAAUUCCCGGAGUAGCGGUGAAAUGCGCAGAUACCGGGAGGAACGCCGAUGGCGAAGGCAGCCACCUGGUCCACUUCUGACGCUGAGGCGCGAAAGCGUGGGGAGCAAACCGGAUUAGAUACCCCCGUAGUCCCUGUCUCUUAUAC